RNAcentral lists this ribosomal RNA (497 nucleotides) under uncultured bacterium. RNAcentral describes it as "partial 16S ribosomal RNA". It matches the Rfam family "Bacterial small subunit ribosomal RNA", at positions 28 to 507 of the family's 1533-position model. The record is from RNAcentral.
GAUGAACGCUGGCGGCGUGCCUAAUACAUGCAAGUCGAGCGAACAGACGAGAAGCUUGCUCCUCUGACGUUAGCGGCGGACGGGUGAGUAACACGUGGAUAACCUACCUAUAAGACUGGGAUAACUUCGGGAAACCGGAGCCAAUACCGGAUAAUAUAUUGAACCGCAUGGUUCAAUAGUGAAAGACGGUUUUGCUGUUACUUAUAGAUGGAUCCGCGCCGCAUUAGCUAGUUGGUAAGGUAACGGCUUACCAAGGCGACGAUGCGUAGCCGACCUGAGAGGGUGAUCGGCCACACUGGAACUGAGACACGGUCCAGACUCCUACGGGAGGCAGCAGUGGGGAAUAUUCGGCAAAGGGCGAAAGCCUGACGCAGCAAUGCCGCGUGAGUGAUGAAGGUCUUCGGAUCGUAAAGCUCUUUUGUUGGGGAAGAAAAACAGUGGAUGAAUCCCUCGCUGUUUUGACGGUACCCAAUGAAAAAGCACCGGCUAACUUCGUG